Molecule: ribosomal RNA, 875 nt
Filed under: uncultured Candidatus Nitrosopumilus sp.
Lineage: Archaea; Thermoproteati; Nitrososphaerota; Nitrososphaeria; Nitrosopumilales; Nitrosopumilaceae
Description: bacterial SSU rRNA
Rfam family: Archaeal small subunit ribosomal RNA
Source: RNAcentral
CCUGACUGCUAUCGGAUUGAUACUAAGCCAUGUGAGUCAUUGUAGCAAUACAAGGCAGACGGCUCAGUAACACGUAGUCAAUCUACCCUAUGGACGGGGAUAACCUCGGGAAACUGAGGAUAACACCCGAUAGAUCAUUAAUCCUGGAACGGUUUAUGGUCCAAAUGAUUCGUCGCCGUAGGAUGGGACUGCGGCCUAUCAGCUUGUUGGUGAGGUAAUGGCCCACCAAGGCUAUUACAGGUACGGGCUCUGAGAGGAGAGGCCCGGAGAUGGGUACUGAGACACGGACCCAGGCCCUAUGGGGCGCAGCAGGCGAGAAACCUUUGCAAUGUGCGCAAGCACGACAAGGUUAAUCCGAGUGUUUCCUGCUAAAGGAAUCUUUUGUUAGUUGUAAAACCACUGACGAAUAAGGGGUGGGCAAGUUCUGGUGUCAGCCGCCGCGGUAAAACCAGCACCUCAAGUGGUCAGGAGGAUUAUUGGGCCUAAAGCAUCCGUAGCCUGUUCUAUAAGUUUCCGGUUAAAUCCACUAGCUCAACUAAUGGGCUGCCGAAAAUACUGUAGAACUAGGGAGUGGGAGAGGUAGACGGUACUCGGGAGGAAGGGGUAAAAUCCUUUGAUCUCUCGAUGACCACCUGUGGCGAAGGCGGUCUACCAGAACACGUCCGACGGUGAGGGAUGAAAGCUGGGGGAGCAAACCGGAUUAGAUACCCGGGUAGUCCCAGCUGUAAACUAUGCAAACUCAGUGAUGCAUUGGCUUGAUGCUAAUGCAGUGUUGCAGGGGAGCCGUUAAGUUUGCCGCCUGGGAAGUACGUACGCAAGUAUGAAACUUAAAGGAAUUGGCGGGGGAGCACCACAAGGGGUGAAGCCUGCGGUUC